This is a long non-coding RNA of Lolium rigidum, 235 nucleotides long. RefSeq lists it as uncharacterized. NCBI's taxonomy places the organism in Eukaryota, Viridiplantae, Streptophyta, Magnoliopsida, Poales, Poaceae. The transcript is spliced from 4 exons. The record is from RefSeq and is a predicted model, not a curated record.
AGAUGAACACACUUCUGGAGACGAUGAUGUCGACGAAAGUAUGGAUGCAGAUGGUAUUGAUCUAGAAGAUGAUAAUGUAGAGCAAGAAGAAGAUGUUGACACUGAUAAUAUUCAGAGUGAUGUUGUGGAUGAGCCAAAUGAUGAUGAGAGAUUGGACUCUGGUUUUGUUGACGAGGUAUUAGUUGGCGAUAAUUCUUCUUACGACUAUUACGGUGAUUCAGACUUGGAGACUAUA